CGAGGAUCUUCGGCAAUGGGCGCAAGCCUGACCGAGCGACGCCGCGUGUGCGAUGAGGGCCUUCGGGUUGUAAAGCACUGUCGAGGGGAAGAAAAGCCCGCAAGGGUUUGAUCGACCCCUGGAGGAAGCACGGGCUAAGUUCGUGCCAGCAGCCGCGGUAAGACGAACCGUGCUAACGUUGUUCGGAAUCACUGGGCUUAAAGGGCGCGUAGGCGGGCAUGCAAGUCAGGGGUGAAAGCCCACGGCUCAACCGUGGAAGUGCCUUUGAUACUGCGUGUCUUGAGCGAGGUAGGGGCGUGCGGAACUUCCGGUGGAGCGGUGAAAUGCGUAGAUAUCGGAAGGAACACCGGUGGCGAAAGCGGCGCGCUGGACCUCUUCUGACGCUGAGGCGCGAAAGCCAGGGGAGCAAA
RNAcentral lists this ribosomal RNA (410 nucleotides) under uncultured bacterium. RNAcentral describes it as "bacterial SSU rRNA". It matches the Rfam family "Bacterial small subunit ribosomal RNA", at positions 356 to 772 of the family's 1533-position model. The record is from RNAcentral.